Molecule: long non-coding RNA, 293 nt
Filed under: Lathyrus oleraceus (garden pea)
Lineage: Eukaryota; Viridiplantae; Streptophyta; Magnoliopsida; Fabales; Fabaceae
Description: Pisum sativum (pea) long non-coding RNA (PSAT_LNC031098)
Source: RNAcentral
UCUCAGUCAUACUUGUAUUGAUUCAUCUGACACAAGGUCAUUGAUGAAUCAAUUAGCCUUUAGACAUUAGAGAUUUCAUUGGUCAAAUGAGGGAAUGGGGAAGAAUAUGGAUGAAGAUGAAGAGGGAGGGGAAAUAGAAACACAAAUUGAUCAUGGGAGAAAUUUCAUCAAAUCAAAACCAUCCAUUCAUUUUCGAAGAUGAAAUGUUCAUUUCAUCAAUCCCCUAAAUCCAAUGGUUUUGAUCCAACAAAAGUCAAAUCAACCUUGACCAAGGACCAAACAGAAAGUCAAAC